This 305-nucleotide ribosomal RNA is filed under the name uncultured bacterium. RNAcentral's name for it is "bacterial SSU rRNA". It matches the Rfam family "Bacterial small subunit ribosomal RNA", at positions 337 to 659 of the family's 1533-position model. The record is from RNAcentral.
GCCUACGGGGGGCAGCAGUGGGGGAUAUUGGACAAUGGGGGAAACCCUGAUCCAGCGAUGCCGCGUGAGGGAAGAAGGUUUUCGGAUUGUAAACCUCUGUGGAGGGGGACGAUAAUGACGGUACCCCUUUAGGAAGCCACGGCUAACUACGUGCCAGCAGCCGCGGUAAUACGUAGGUGGCGAGCGUUGUCCGGAAUUACUGGGUGUAAAGGGAGUGUAGGCGGCUCUGCAAGUCAGGCGUGAAAGCUAGGGGCUCAACCCCUAAAUUGCGCUUGAAACUGUGGAGCUUGAGUGAAGUAGAGGCG